AUGAUGUGUCAACAACUAUACAACUAAUAGUCAAGCUGUGAAUUGCCAGGUGGCGCUUUUACAACAUGGAUAGGAUGUGUAAUUAACGCAAACUCCGCUAUCCGGAGCUGAUGACCCCAUGGGCGCGGCAAUGUAAGACGGGCCUACUCUCCAAGCAGAGCUGUCUACCCCAUCUUAACUGAAAAAGGAUCCGGACAGCCGAAGAGCCCUUCGUGAUUCGCACAACUCCGACAGUCUUCCUUUCCGAAGUCCUGGAGGGAACAACGGUUACAAAAGACACUUCUUGAAGAGACCUGAAGAGACUUUCCUGGAAACCAUCCUCAUUUCAUA
Long non-coding RNA from Branchiostoma floridae (Florida lancelet), 330 nucleotides. RefSeq lists it as uncharacterized. The transcript has 3 exons. NCBI's taxonomy places the organism in Eukaryota, Metazoa, Chordata, Leptocardii, Amphioxiformes, Branchiostomatidae. The record is from RefSeq and is a predicted model, not a curated record.